UCAAGUGACUAAGUGCAUGUGGCGGAUGCCUUGGCGAUCACAGGCGAAGAAAGACGCGGCAGCCUGCGAAAAGCUGCGGGGAGCUGGCAAACGAGCUUUGAUCCGCAGAUAUCUGAAUGGGGGAACCCACACCGCAAGGUGUAUCCGUAGCUGAAUACAUAGGUUACGGAGGCGAACGAGGAGAACUGAAACAUCUAAGUAUCCUCAGGAAAAGAAAUCAACCGAGAUUCCGGCAGUAGCGGCGAGCGAACCCGGAGGAGCCCAGCUUUUGAUAGUACGAACUUUAGCCGAAAGGUCCUGGAAAGGCCUGCUAUAGUGGGUGAUAGCCCCGUAGGCGAAAGAGUUGGUACGGUACUAAGGAAGCGAGAAGUAGAGCGGGACACGUGGAAUCCUGUUCGAAGACGGGGGGACCAUCCUCCAAGGCUAAAUACUCGUGAUCGACCGAUAGUGAACCAGUACCGUGAGGGAAAGGCGAAAAGAACCCCGGGAGGGGAGUGAAAUAGAACCUGAAACCGCAUGCAUACAAACAGUAGGAGCCUCAUCAGAGGUGACUGCGUACCUUUUGCAUAAUGGGUCAGCGACUUACAUUCUGUGGCGAGCUUAACCGAAUAGGGGAGGCGCAGCGAAAGCGAGUUCGAAAUGAGCGUCCAGUCGCAGGGUGUAGACCCGAAACCAGAUGAGCUAUCCAUGGCCAGGUUGAAGGUGUGGUAACACACACUGGAGGACCGAACCGACUAGUGUUGCAAAAUUAGCGGAUGAGCUGUGGAUAGGGGUGAAAGGCCAAACAAAUCUGGAGAUAGCUGGUUCUCCCCGAAAACUAUUGAGGUAGUGCCUCGUGUGUCGCUCCAGGGGGUAGAGCACUGUUUUGGCUAGGGGGACAUGGAGUCUUACCAAACCAAGGCAAACUCCGAAUACCUGGAAGCGUGAGCACGGGAGACAGAGCACCGGGUGCUAACGUCCGGACUCAAAAGGGAAACAACCCAGACCGCCGGCUAAGGUCCCAAAUAACAGCUAAGUGGAAAACGAAGUGGAAAGGCCGUGACAACCAGGAAGUUGGCUUAGAAGCAGCCAUCCUUCAAAGAAAGCGUAAUAGCUCACUGGUCGAGUCCUUCUGCGCGGAAGAUGUAACGGGGCUAAGCUGUUAACCGAAGCCGCGGAUGCACUGGUUAUCCAGUGCGUGGUAGGGGAGCGUUCUGUAAGUCUGCGAAGGCGGUUCGAGAGGACUGCUGGAGAUAUCAGAAGUGCGAAUGCUGACAUGAGUAACGUUAAAGCAGGUGAAAAGCCUGCUCGCCGUAAGCCCAAGGAUUCCUGCUCUACGUUCAUCGGAGCAGGGUGAGUCGGCUCCUAAGGUCAGGCCGAAAGGCGUAGCCGAUGGGAAUCAGGUUAAUAUUCCUGAACCUGCGUCAGAUGCGAUGGGGGGACGGAGCAUGAAAGAUCAUCCGGGUGUUGGAAGUCCCGGUUGUUUAGCGUAGGAGGUCUGCAGGCAAAUCCGCAGACGCAUCUCCAAGGCAAAGACACGUGCCGCCACGGCGGCGAAGUGAUCGGAAGUGCUUCCAAGAAAAGCCUCUAAGCCCCAGUCUGACGCGGACCGUACCGCAAACCGACACUGGUGGGCGAGCUGAAUAUGCUCAGGCGCUUGAGAGAACUCGGGAGAAGGAACUCGGCAAAUUGACACCGUAACUUCGGAAGAAGGUGUGCCGUAGUACCGUGAGAGGAGAGACACCUUGAGCGGGAAACGGUCUCAGAGAAUAGGUGGCUGCGACUGUUUAUUAAAAACACAGCACUCUGCAAAGUCGAAAGACGACGUAUAGGGUGUGAUGCCUGCCCGGUGCUGGAAGAUUAAUUGAUGGGGUGAGAGCCCUUGAUCGAAGUCCCAGUAAACGGCGGCCGUAACUAUAACGGUCCUAAGGUAGCGAAAUUCCUUGUC
This 1927-nucleotide ribosomal RNA is filed under the name human gut metagenome. Its description in RNAcentral is "bacterial LSU rRNA". It matches the Rfam family "Bacterial large subunit ribosomal RNA", at positions 3 to 1973 of the family's 2925-position model. The record is from RNAcentral.